Molecule: unclassified non-coding RNA, 324 nt
Filed under: soil metagenome
Description: partial contains 5.8S ribosomal RNA, internal transcribed spacer 2, and large subunit ribosomal RNA
Rfam family: 5.8S ribosomal RNA (bases 1-120)
Source: RNAcentral
GAUGAAGAACGUAGCGAAAUGCGAUAAGUAAUGUGAAUUGCAGAAUUCAGUGAAUCAUCGAAUCUUUGAACGCACAUUGCGCCCUCUGGUAUUCCGCAGGGCAUGCCUGUUCGAGCGUCAUUUCAACCCUCAAGCCCCGCUUGGUGUUGGGCCCCGCCCGCUGUGGCCGGCCCUAAAGACAGUGGCGGCGCCGCCUGGCCCUCAGCGUAGUACAUCUCUCGCUCCAGGGUCCGGUGGCCGCCUGCCAGAACCCCCCAACUCUGUGGUUGACCUCGGAUCAGGUAGGGAUACCCGCUGAACUUAAGCAUAUCAAUAAGCGGAGGA